Molecule: ribosomal RNA, 239 nt
Filed under: uncultured bacterium
Lineage: Bacteria
Description: partial 16S ribosomal RNA
Rfam family: Bacterial small subunit ribosomal RNA
Source: RNAcentral
CCGGCGCACGGUGAGUAACGCGUAUGCAACUUACCUAUCAGAGGGGGAUAACCCGGCGAAAGUCAGACUAAUACCGCAUGAAGCAGGGGCCCCGCAUGGGGAUAUUUGCUAAAGAUUCAUCGCUGAUAGAUAGGCAUGCGUUCCAUUAGGCAGUUGGCGGGGUAACGGCCCACCAAACCGACGAUGGAUAGGGGUUCUGAGAGGAAGGUCCCCCACAUUGGUACUGAGACACGGACCAA